UGAGGGUUUCGGCCCGACCUCCAACCCUUUGUGAAUCAAACCUGUUGCUUCGGGGGCGACCCUGCCGUUCGCGGCGCGGCGCCCCCGGGGGAAAUCAAACACUGCGUCAAUUUGUGUCGGAGUACUUGUUAAUAAACAAAACUUUCAACAACGGAUCUCUUGGUUCUGGCAUCGAUGAAGAACGCAGCGAAAUGCGAUAAGUAAUGUGAAUUGCAGAAUUCAGUGAAUCAUCGAAUCUUUGAACGCACAUUGCGCCCCGUGGUAUUCCGCGGGGCAUGCCUGUUCGAGCGUCAUUUCACCACUCGAGUCUGACUCGGUAUUGGGCGUCGCGUUUCGAUGCGCGCCUUAAAGUUUCCGGCUGGACCGUCCGUCUCCGAGCGUUGUGGCAUCUGUCUCGCUAGGGAGCCGCGGAGGGCGUUGGCCGUUAAACACCCCAUCAAAGGUUGACCUCGGAUCAGGUAGGGAUACCCGCUGAACUUAAGCAUAUCAAUAAGCGGGAGGAAA
This 504-nucleotide ribosomal RNA is filed under the name Paramycosphaerella marksii. RNAcentral's name for it is "eukaryotic LSU rRNA". The stretch from base 140 to 293 matches the Rfam family "5.8S ribosomal RNA". Lineage: Eukaryota; Fungi; Ascomycota; Dothideomycetes; Mycosphaerellales; Mycosphaerellaceae. The record is from RNAcentral.